This 499-nucleotide ribosomal RNA is filed under the name uncultured Mortierellaceae. RNAcentral describes it as "eukaryotic LSU rRNA". The stretch from base 60 to 213 matches the Rfam family "5.8S ribosomal RNA". Lineage: Eukaryota; Fungi; Mortierellomycota; Mortierellomycetes; Mortierellales; Mortierellaceae. The record is from RNAcentral.
UACUCAGAACUUUAGUGAUUUUGUCUGAAAAAUAUUAUGAAUAACUUAAUUCAAAAUACAACUUUCAACAACGGAUCUCUUGGCUCUCGCAUCGAUGAAGAACGCAGCGAAAUGCGAUACGUAAUGUGAAUUGCAGAAUUCAGUGAAUCAUCGAAUCUUUGAACGCAUAUUGCGCUCUCUGGUAUUCCGGAGAGCAUGCUUGUUUGAGUAUCAGUAAACACCUCAACUCCCUUUUUUCUUUUUUGAAAUGAGGGAGCUGGACUUGAGUGAUCCCAACACUUUUCUUCACUGAAAAGUGGCGGGUCACUUGAAAUGCAGGUGCAGCUGGACUUUUCUCUGAGCUAUAAGCAUAUCUAUUUAGUCUGCCUAAAAAACAGAUUAUUACCUUUGCUGCAGCUAACAUAAAGGAGAUGAGUUCUUGUGCUGACUGAUGCAGGAUUCACAGAGACAGCUUCGCGGCUGACUUUGUAAACUCGAUCUCAAAUCAAGUAAGACUACC